Molecule: ribosomal RNA, 492 nt
Filed under: uncultured bacterium
Lineage: Bacteria
Description: partial 16S ribosomal RNA
Rfam family: Bacterial small subunit ribosomal RNA
Source: RNAcentral
AGUGAACGCUGGCGGUAGGCCUAACACAUGCAAGUCGAACGGCAGCACAGUAAGAGCUUGCUCUUACGGGUGGCGAGUGGCGGACGGUUGAGGAAUACAUCGGAAUCUACUUUUUCGUGGGGGAUAACGUAGGGAAACUUACGCUAAUACCGCAUACGACCUACGGGUGAAAGCAGGGGAUCUUCGGACCUUGCGCGAUUGAAUGAGCCGAUGUCGGAUUAGCUAGUUGGCGGGGUAAAGGCCCACCAAGGCGACGAUCCGUAGCUGGUCUGAGAGGAUGAUCAGCCACACUGGAACUGAGACACGGUCCAGACUCCUACGGGAGGCAGCAGCGGGGAAUAUUGGACAAUGGGCGCAAGCCUGAUCCAGCCAUACCGCGUGGGUGAAGAAGGCCUUCGGGUUGUAAAGCCCUUUUGUUGGGAAAGAAAAGCAGCAGGUUAAUACCCCGCUGUUCUGACGGUACCCAAAGAAUAAGCACCGGCUAACUUCGUG